UGCCCAUCAACGGACUCCUUCCACAGGGUCACCUGCAAGCCAGCACACGGAGCCUGUUACAGGAAGAACAACUAUUCAUGAACAAGAAACCACUGAGGGAAUCCUAGAAGACAACAGUGAGGCUGAAGCACCUCCCUCCACCGAGACCAAGAUACUGUACCAGAAGGCUAAGUGGGAAGGCUACGUGCUGACUGCAUGGCCCCCUACCCAGGUUGGCAUAGCACCAUGUGCAACCUAUGUUUCCUCCAAGAAGGAAAAGAGCACAGGGUGACAUCCAGUUAUCCAGCAUUACUGGCUUUAGGUCUUAGGGCCUUACCUCUGCUGUGGACAGACGACAGAAAAGCCAACCAAAGCCAAGGGACAAACGAGGAGCAUCGAGGGGAAGGGUAUGGGAGUGGUAGCCAGGCAACAAGCCCCGCCCAGCUGCUCCUACCACACUCG
Molecule: long non-coding RNA, 441 nt
Organism: Zalophus californianus (California sea lion)
Lineage: Eukaryota; Metazoa; Chordata; Mammalia; Carnivora; Otariidae
Exons: 3
Source: RefSeq, a predicted model, not a curated record